RNAcentral lists this ribosomal RNA (520 nucleotides) under uncultured Glomus. RNAcentral's name for it is "SSU rRNA". It matches the Rfam family "Eukaryotic small subunit ribosomal RNA", at positions 569 to 1087 of the family's 1831-position model. Lineage: Eukaryota; Fungi; Glomeromycota; Glomeromycetes; Glomerales; Glomeraceae. The record is from RNAcentral.
CGCAGCCGCGGUAAUUCCAGCUCCAAUAGCGUAUAUUAAAGUUGUUGCAGUUAAAAAGCUCGUAGUUGAAUUUCGGGGAUCAGUAGAUCGGUCGUGCCUAUGGUAUGUACUGGUCUAACUGAUUCCUCCUUCUUGACGAACUGUAAUGUCAUUAAUUUGGUGUUGCAGGGAAUCAGGACUGUUACUUUAGAAAAAAUUAGAGUGUUUAAAGCAGGCUAAAGCUUGAAUACAUUAGCAUGGAAUAAUGAAAUAGGACGUUUGAUCCUAUUUUGUUGGUUUCUAGGAUUGACGUAAUGAUUAAUAGGGAUAGGUUGGGGGCAUUAGUAUUCAAUUGUCAGAGGUGAAAUUCUUGGAUUUAUUGAAGACUAACUACUGCGAAAGCAUUUGCCAAGGAUGUUUUCAUUAAUCAAGAACGAAAGUUAGGGGAUCGAAGACGAUCAGAUACCGUCGUAGUCUUAACCAUAAACUAUGCCGACUAGGGAUCGGAUGAUGUUAAUUUUUUAAUGACUCAUUCGGCGUC